CAGGGGAGAGUGGUGACAAGCCACAGGCUUAUAGCCAGGCCCAGUAUACAGACCUGGUCACACCAAAGGACACUGGACAUAAGCUUAUGUUCCCUACACUGGUCAGCAGGCUGCGCCCUCUCCCACGAUCACAGAUGUCCCCCCAGACCCACUAAUUCUCCUUGCCCAGUCUGGGCCACUCCAAACCCCUCACCUCAAAGAAAAAGCACUCCAUCAAAUUGAUCUGAAAACACACGAUAUGUGAAAACAUCUGCUUCUGCAAUUUACUCCUUCACAUCAGUGCAGUGGUCUUCCCGAGUGCCAAAAUGUUUUCAGCCCAGUCUGAGCAUUCCCGUCACUCCCAGAGGAACCCUACUAAGAAGAGAGCACAGAAACAGCAGAACAGUCCUCCAAGC
Coregonus clupeaformis (lake whitefish) is the source of this 395-nucleotide long non-coding RNA. RefSeq lists it as uncharacterized. The record is from RefSeq and is a predicted model, not a curated record. Lineage: Eukaryota; Metazoa; Chordata; Actinopteri; Salmoniformes; Salmonidae. The transcript is spliced from 4 exons.